GAUGACCUCUGGCGGCGUGCUUAACACAUGCAAGUCGAACGAAGCACUUUAUUACGAUUUCUUCGGAAUGACGAUUUGGUGACUGAGUGGCGGACGGGUGAGUAACGCGUGGGUAACCUGCCUUAUACGGGGGGAUAACAGUUAGAAAUGACUGCUAAUACCGCAUAAGCGCACAGGAUUGCAUGAUCUGGUGUGAAAAACUCCGGUGGUAUAAGAUGGACCCGCGUCUGAUUAGCUGGUUGGUGAGGUAACGGCCCACCAAGGCGACGAUCAGUAGCCGACCUGAGAGGGUGACCGGCCACAUUGGGACUGAGACACGGCCCAAACUCCUACGGGAGGCAGCAGUGGGGAAUAUUGCACAAUGGGGGAAACCCUGAUGCAGCGACGCCGCGUGAGCGAAGAAGUAUUUCGGUAUGUAAAGCUCUAUCAGCAGGGAAGAAAAAAAUGACGGUACCUGACUAAGAAGCCCCGGCUAACUACGUGCCAGCAGCCGCGGUAAUACGUAGGGGGCAAGCGUUAUCCGGAUUUACUGGGUGUAAAGGGAGCGCAGGCGGUGCGGCAAGUCUGAUGUGAAAGCCCGGGGCUCAACCCCGGGACUGCAUUGGAAACUGUCGUACUUGAGUAUCGGAGAGGUAAGUGGAAUUCCUAGUGUAGCGGUGAAAUGCGUAGAUAUUAGGAGGAACACCAGUGGCGAAGGCGGCUUACUGGACGAUAACUGACGCUGAGGCUCGAAAGCGUGGGGAGCAAACAGGAUUAGAUACCCUGGUAGUCCACGCCGU
Molecule: ribosomal RNA, 779 nt
Filed under: uncultured bacterium
Lineage: Bacteria
Description: bacterial SSU rRNA
Rfam family: Bacterial small subunit ribosomal RNA
Source: RNAcentral